UAUAAAGUCUGACCUGCCCAAUGAAAAUUUAAAUGGCCGCGGUAUUUUGACCGUGCAAAGGUAGCAUAAUAAUUAGUUUUUUAAUUGAAAGCUGGAAUGAAUGGUUGGACGAGAAAAUAACUGUCUCAUAUUAAUUUAAUUAGAAUUUUAUUUUUAAGUAAAAAAGCUUAAAUUUUUUUAAAAGACGAGAAGACCCUAUAGAGCUUUAUAUAUUUAUAAUUAAAUUUAAUGUAGAAUUUUAGUAUUUUUAUUUUUAAAUGUAUUUUAUUGGGGUGAUAAAAAAAUUAAUAAAACUUUUUUUUUAUAAUAACAUUGAUUUAUGAAUAAUUGAUCCAUUUUUUAUGAUUAAAAGAUUAAGUUACCUUAGGGAUAACAGCGUAAUUUUUUUUUAGAGUUCUUAUCGAAAAAAGAGAUUGCGACCUCGAUGUUGGAUUAAAAUUAAUGUUUGGUGUAGAGGCUAGACAAUUAGGUCUGUUCGACCUUUGAAAUUUUACA
Molecule: ribosomal RNA, 495 nt
Filed under: Hymenoplia lineolata
Lineage: Eukaryota; Metazoa; Arthropoda; Insecta; Coleoptera; Scarabaeidae
Description: partial 16S large subunit ribosomal RNA
Rfam family: Bacterial large subunit ribosomal RNA
Source: RNAcentral